ACUGAACGCUGGCGGCAGGCCUAACACAUGCAAGUCGAGCGGAUGAAGGGAGCUUGCUCCUGGAUUCAGCGGCGGACGGGUGAGUAAUGCCUAGGAAUCUGCCUGGUAGUGGGGGAUAACGUCCGGAAACGGGCGCUAAUACCGCAUACGUCCUGAGGGAGAAAGUGGGGGAUCUUCGGACCUCACGCUAUCAGAUGAGCCUAGGUCGGAUUAGCUAGUUGGUGGGGUAAAGGCCUACCAAGGCGACGAUCCGUAACUGGUCUGAGAGGAUGAUCAGUCACACUGGAACGGAGACACGGUCCGGACUCCUACGGGAGGCAGCAGGGGGGAAUUUUGGACAAGGGGCGAAAGCCGGAUCCAGCCAUGCGGCGUGUGUGAAGAAGGUCUUCGGAUUGUAAAGCACUUUAAGUUGGGAGGAAGGGCAGUAAGUUAAUACCUUGUUGUUUUGACGUUACCAAAAAAAAAAGCCCCGCCUAACUUCGUC
This 484-nucleotide ribosomal RNA is filed under the name uncultured bacterium. RNAcentral's name for it is "partial 16S ribosomal RNA". It matches the Rfam family "Bacterial small subunit ribosomal RNA", at positions 30 to 507 of the family's 1533-position model. The record is from RNAcentral.